Molecule: long non-coding RNA, 664 nt
Organism: Erinaceus europaeus (western European hedgehog)
Lineage: Eukaryota; Metazoa; Chordata; Mammalia; Eulipotyphla; Erinaceidae
Exons: 2
Source: RefSeq, a predicted model, not a curated record
GACUGGGAUCCAUGUGGAUUCAGUCGGCUAGGAAGGAUCGUCAGUUUCCCCAAUGAAUGGGUACUCACGGGAUGCACCACGAGAAGGUCGAUCCAAUGCAUCCCAUUUCUUGAUCAUUAAGCAUGCUACUGGAAUAUUAUUUGCUAUUUACUAUUUCUUCCCCCCCCAAUGAUAAUUCUCCUAUAAAAACAAACUGAAAGCAAAUGAUGAAAUCUUGCCGCUUGUAAUGAUAUGGAUGGACCCUAGAGAGACUGCUAAUUGAAACAAACAAAAUAGAAAAGGACCAGUAUGAGAUAGAAAAAAGACCAAUACCGACCAUGUGACUUCAUUCCUAUGUGUAAUAGAAAGACACAAAGAAGACAAAUAGAGUAAACAAACUUUGAGAGACUGAACAGACUGGUGGUUAGCAGAUGGAGGGUGGGGAGAAAGGGAGGUGGAGGGAACUGGUCAAGGGGUCAGUUGUGCCAUAAUGUAUGGAAACUAGGCUUUUCAAGAAAUGUUUACAAGAGAAUUUUAAUUAUAAUGCUGUGUACCUGAAACGUGCAUUUUGAGCCAAUAUUACCUCUGUUAAAUGUAGUUCAAUAUAAAAGUUAAUGUUGAAAGUUAAGAGAUUUUUCUUAAAGAAACACUGUACCUGUAAUAAACACAGUCUACAAAUAUGAAA